Transfer RNA from Neotoma lepida (desert woodrat), 73 nucleotides. It matches the Rfam family "tRNA". Rfam says of the family: Transfer RNA (tRNA) molecules are approximately 80 nucleotides in length. Their secondary structure includes four short double-helical elements and three loops (D, anti-codon, and T loops). Further hydrogen bonds mediate the characteristic L-shaped molecular structure. tRNAs have two regions of fundamental functional importance: the anti-codon, which is responsible for specific mRNA codon recognition, and the 3' end, to which the tRNAs corresponding amino acid is attached (by aminoacyl-tRNA synthetases). tRNAs cope with the degeneracy of the genetic code in two manners: having more than one tRNA (with a specific anti-codon) for a particular amino acid; and 'wobble' base-pairing, i.e. permitting non-standard base-pairing at the 3rd anti-codon position. NCBI's taxonomy places the organism in Eukaryota, Metazoa, Chordata, Mammalia, Rodentia, Cricetidae. The record is from Rfam.
GGAGAGAUGGCUCAGUGGUUAAGAGCACUGGCUGCUCUUCCAGAGGACCUGGGUUCAUUUCCCAGCACCCCCA